Vicugna pacos (alpaca) is the source of this 2074-nucleotide non-coding RNA. Lineage: Eukaryota; Metazoa; Chordata; Mammalia; Artiodactyla; Camelidae. The record is from RefSeq and is a predicted model, not a curated record.
UUCCAUCUGGGUACCACACUUAAAGGAAGAUGCUUAGGUCUGAAGCUACUCUACAGUUAGAGGCUUGGAAUGAUAUCCAUGAGGGUUGAUGAAAGACUGGGGGUUUGGAGAAGAAUUUGCUGCGAUGGCAGGAAUGUCUGGGGAGGGGCUGGCUAGAGAAGGUGCCUGGGAUGUGAUAGAUGUUCUUAGAUUCUAAGGAUUCAGAAAAGAAAUUAGGCUUGUCAUCUGUGACCUGAAGGACUGAAGCUAGGGUCAGUGGGUUUAAUCUAUAGAAGACAGUGGCUGUGAUAUAAUAGAAAAAAUAUAUAUUGGUCUCUGACCGCUGUUCCUGGCACAGAGCUCCUAAAGCCCUUGUAAUUUUGUGGGUGAUUAGAGUGUCUUGUUCUAACAGGGUGACUCUGGGUGGGCCCCUGGAUGAGGGCCGGUCACCAGAAAGACCAAGCCAUGAUUAGAAGCUUAGAAUUUUCGGCCCCUCCCCCAUUCUCUUGUGGAGGAAGAAGGGCUGAAAAUGGAAUUAAUGAUGGGUCAUUCCUACGUGAUGAAGCCCCCAUAAAAUCCCCAAAAGAGUAGGACUUGGAGAGCUCACAGGUUGGUGAGCACAUGGAGGUGCUGGGAGGGUGGUGUAUCCUGACAGAGAGUGGCAACUGCCCCUUUGUACAUAUCUUGCUCUGGGUUUUCAUCUGUAUUAUUUAUCAUAUCCUUUCAUUUAAAAAAAUGGUAAACAAGUGCUUUCCUGAGUUCUGUGAGCCGCUUUAGCAAAUUAGUUGAACCAAGGAGGGAGGGUCUUUGGAACGUGUCAUCUGUAGCUGGUGAGAAGCCCAGGUGAUGACCUGGGCUUGCGGCUGGGGUCUGAAGUGUGUGUGUGUUGGGGUGGGAGGGGGUCGGUGGGGGAGGGUCAGUCUUAUGGAACUGAGCCUUUAACCUGUGGUAUCAGGCUGUCUCCAAGUACACGGUGUCAGCAUUGAGUCAAUUUGCAUAGAAUUGCUUGGUGUGGGAAAAAGCCGCCACACAUUUGACACCCAGAAGUGAACUGUUUUCUGUGAGUAGUAAGGGAGACUCACGGGGAAGAAAGACAUAGUAGGGAAGAACUGGGUUUUCCCCUACAGAGGAAGGAAAAAAAGCGAUUUUUCCUUAACGGGCAUAGGGCAGAGUCAUGGAACUCCUCUAAAACAGCAGAGAAAAUGCAGAUGCCAUAUAGAGAAUGCAAAACAAACAAACAAAAAAAAGCAAGUGCCAUGUGGAAGAGUACAGUACAGUCUUGGGCUGGGAUUAUUGGAGACAUUUUCUGUUAUAUUUGCAAAGUUUGAAUAUUUUACAGUAUUUUUACUUUGUUUUAUCAUGAAAUAUAACAUUUAGAAAAGUGUGUAAGACAAGUGGAUGGUACAGUGAGUAACUACAAAGCAGGAACACCUAAGUAGUGGUCUGCACCGGUAUUCUAGGCAGUGGGAUCCUGUGUUCAUAAGGCUUGGCUCCUGAGCUCAUUUCAGCUUUGCCUUAUUUCAAUCAGCUAGAUUCGGUUGGUAGCAAAGGAAAACCAGAGAGCAUCACUUUAUUAGGGCAAGUCUUCCUUUCCAUUGGAAAGUAAACCGGUUUUUUACCGAUGGCCAAAGAGAAGCAUUUUCACAUGCAGGGCUGCACUUUAUGAUUAUCAGUUUACUACAGAUUGAACAGCAAUGACCAUUUCAUCCGUCUUUUCCCAGGCUGAAGCCAAGCAGUCUUCCUCUCCCUUGACAUGUCUGCUUUGCUUACUAGCAAUGCCCACUGUCCACUCCUGCCCUUGGUAUACAUCAGAAGAGAAAUAAUUAGGGGGACUCCUACAAACCAAUCUGAUGCUGCAUCUGUUCAUUUACGCUGGUAGCUGUCUGCAGAAGCAGCUGCGGACUAGUAUUCAAACAGAUUAGUAAAGAAAAUUCUGGAAGAAUAUAUUCCAAAAUAAUGACUCUCUGGCUGUUCCAAUUGCUGCCUGAACUUAUCCCCGUGCCGUCUCACGCUGUCUGCCAGUUCUUUCACUGGAAUAUGUUACCCAGUCUCCUUGGAAUCAUUGCCGGGUCUCCUUGGAAUGGAAACUGUGUCG